Non-coding RNA from Haemonchus contortus (barber pole worm), 75 nucleotides. NCBI's taxonomy places the organism in Eukaryota, Metazoa, Nematoda, Chromadorea, Rhabditida, Trichostrongylidae. The record is from Rfam.
GGCCCAAAUUUGAAGUAGAGUAGAUUAGAAGGAUCAUGUGACCCUUCUAAAUUACUCUACUUUGAGUUUGUGCCC